RNAcentral lists this long non-coding RNA (238 nucleotides) under Lathyrus oleraceus (garden pea). RNAcentral describes it as "Pisum sativum (pea) long non-coding RNA (PSAT_LNC025318)". The record is from RNAcentral. Lineage: Eukaryota; Viridiplantae; Streptophyta; Magnoliopsida; Fabales; Fabaceae.
GGGUUCUUCAAUGGAAUAUGAAUUGAAAAUGUAAAACCAUUUAUUAACUAAAACUUAGGAAGUUUAAACCUAAAAAAAAUGAAAGGUUUCCAAAACUUAUUCUGUUUAAAAUAAAUUAAAAAAAAAGAAAAUAAGGAAACCAAACAAAAGACACUUUCGUCUCUCCGUCUCUCACAAUCUCACGAACUCUCUCAAACUCAAAGAAAUUUCUCUCUCUAAAUUGCACCUUCCCCUCCCC